This 301-nucleotide ribosomal RNA is filed under the name uncultured bacterium. RNAcentral describes it as "partial 16S ribosomal RNA". It matches the Rfam family "Bacterial small subunit ribosomal RNA", at positions 509 to 807 of the family's 1533-position model. The record is from RNAcentral.
CAGUAGCCACGGGAAUACGUAGGGUGAAAGCGUUAAUCGGAAUUACUGGGCGUAAAGCGUGCGCAGGCGGUUAUAUAAGACAGAUGUGAAAUCCCCGGGCUCAACCUGGGAACUGCAUUUGUGACUGUAUAGCUAGAGUACGGCAGAGGGGGAUGGAAUUCCGCGUGUAGCAGUGAAAUGCGUAGAUAUGCGGAGGAACACCGAUGGCGAAGGCAAUCCCCUGGGCCUGUACUGACGCUCAUGCACGAAAGCGUGGGGAGCAAACAGGAUUAGAUACCCGCGUAGUCCCUGUCUCUUAUAC